Molecule: ribosomal RNA, 209 nt
Filed under: uncultured bacterium
Lineage: Bacteria
Description: partial 16S ribosomal RNA
Rfam family: Bacterial small subunit ribosomal RNA
Source: RNAcentral
CGCGUAGGCGGCUGGAUAAGUCAGAUGUGAAAGUCCAUGGCUCAACUGUGGAAGUGCAUUUGAAACUGUCUAGCUUGAGGUAUCGGAGGGGAGUGUGGAAUUCCCGGUGUAGAGGUGAAAUUCGUAGAGAUCGGGAGGAACACCGGUGGCGAAGGCGACACUCUGGACGAAUACUGACGCUGAGGCGCGAAAGCGUGGGGAGCAAACGA